UUUUAAUGAAUCUUAAAAUCUUUAUAUUUUUUUAUACAUGCUGAUAUAGAGCUGGCAAUCCGAGCCAAAACCCGCGGGUUGGCCCGUCCCGUGAAAACCCGCACCCGUCCCGGAUCGUAACUAAACAAGACGGGCGCGGGUUGUAUAAUUAGUGGCUUGUGAAGAAACGUGUUGGCCUGUCCCGUCCCGUGAAACCCGCGGGUAACCCGUUCAGUUCACUAGGCCGCGUGUCACACAAACACAAUGACACGAAAACCACUGAAAACGAAAACCCUCUUCACCAGAAAAAGAAAAGAAAAACUCUCUAACCCUGCAACUCAGAAGCAAUCUCUCGAUCUCUAAAUCUCUCAAAAGAUAACCCAUAAUCAGAAAACCCUAACUCAGAAGCAAUCUCUCAAUCUAUUCAGCAGAAACUCAAAGGAUUAAUCUCUCGAACUCAAUCAGAUCUCACCAAGGGGCAUAACUGCAAUAAUGAAGACUAGCAAGGAAGCAGUAAAGAAGAAGUCGGUCAAGCAGUUGGAAAUAAAGAUGAAAAACAAAGAGAAGACUGAUGAAGCAUCCCUGAUAAAUAACAAGUCCAAAACUGAUAAUGCUGAAGCAGCUGAACCAUCUUCUAAUAUAAUUGCAAAGUAGUUUAGUUUUGCAAUUUUGAGUUUUUGAAUCGAAAUCAAAUGAAUUAGAUGAAAUGAUGAAUGUUAAAUUAAGUACUUAGGUUGGGAA
Molecule: long non-coding RNA, 720 nt
Organism: Papaver somniferum (opium poppy)
Lineage: Eukaryota; Viridiplantae; Streptophyta; Magnoliopsida; Ranunculales; Papaveraceae
Exons: 3
Source: RefSeq, a predicted model, not a curated record